GCACUGGUUUAGCUCAGUGGUUACUUCGAACACAUUUUCUUCUGUAGAAAAGCUGCUCUCCAUCCCUCCCUGGGAUCAAACCACGGGUGCUGUCCAGUGUUUUU
RNAcentral lists this vault RNA (104 nucleotides) under Labrus bergylta (ballan wrasse). Its description in RNAcentral is "Vault RNA (ENSLBEG00000025443.1)". It matches the Rfam family "Vault RNA". Rfam says of the family: This family of RNAs are found as part of the enigmatic vault ribonucleoprotein complex. The complex consists of a major vault protein (MVP), two minor vault proteins (VPARP and TEP1), and several small untranslated RNA molecules. Lineage: Eukaryota; Metazoa; Chordata; Actinopteri; Labriformes; Labridae. The record is from Rfam by way of RNAcentral.